GGGGCCCGCACAAGCGGAGGAGCAUGUGGUUAAUUCGAUGAUACGCGAGGAACCUUACCUGGGCUCGAACGUAAGAUGACUGUAGGUGAAAGCUUACAUCUCUUCGGAGCAUUUUACGAGGUGCUGCAUGGUUGUCGUCAGCUCGUGCCGUGAGGUGUCGGGCUAAGUCCCAUAACGAGCGCAACCCCUACCUUUAGUUGCCAUCAGGUUAAGCUGGGGACUCUAAAGGAACUGCCUACGCAAGUAGUGAGGAAGGCGGGGAUGACGUCAAAUCAGCACGGCCCUUACGUCCAGGGCUACACACGUGCUACAAUGGCCGAUACAGAGGGCAGCUACCUGGUGACAGGAUGCAAAUCUCCAAAGUCGGUCUCAGUUCGGAUCGGAGUCUGCAACCCGACUCCGUGAAGUUGGAUUCGCUAGUAAUCGCGCAUCAGCCAUGGCGCGGUGAAUACGUUCCCGGGCCUU
Molecule: ribosomal RNA, 465 nt
Filed under: uncultured Sphingobacteriales bacterium
Lineage: Bacteria; Pseudomonadati; Bacteroidota; Sphingobacteriia; Sphingobacteriales
Description: bacterial SSU rRNA
Rfam family: Bacterial small subunit ribosomal RNA
Source: RNAcentral